RNAcentral lists this ribosomal RNA (366 nucleotides) under uncultured bacterium. RNAcentral describes it as "bacterial SSU rRNA". It matches the Rfam family "Bacterial small subunit ribosomal RNA", at positions 29 to 425 of the family's 1533-position model. The record is from RNAcentral.
AACGAACGCUGGCGGCAGGCCUAACACAUGCAAGUCGAACGCUCCGCAAGGGGAGUGGCGCACGGGUGAGUAACACGUGGGAACCUACCUUCUGGUACGGAACAACCGAGGGAAACUUUGGCUAAGACCGUAUACGACCUCCGGGUGAAAGAUUGAUCGCCGGAAGAGGGGCCCGCGUCCGAUUAGGUAGUUGGUGAGGUAACGGCUCACCAAGCCUUCGAUCGGUAGCUGGUCUGAGAGGAUGACCAGCCACACUGGGACUGAGACACGGCCCAGACUCCUACGGGAGGCAGCAGUGGGGAAUAUUGGACAAUGGGCGCAAGCCUGAUCCAGCCAUGCCGCGUGAGUGAUGAAGGCCUUCGGUUG